UGCGUAGGCGGACUAAUAAGUCAGUGGUGAAAUCUUUCGGCUCAACCGAGAAACUGCCAUUGAUACUGUUAGUCUUGAGUUCGGUUGAGGUAGGCGGAAUGUGUAAUGUAGCGGUGAAAUGCUUAGAUAUUACACAGAACACCAAUUGCGUAGGCAGCUUACUAGACCGACACUGACGCUGAGGCACGAAAGCGUGGGGAGCGAACAGGAUUAGAUACCUGGUAGUCC
This 228-nucleotide ribosomal RNA is filed under the name uncultured bacterium. RNAcentral describes it as "partial 16S ribosomal RNA". It matches the Rfam family "Bacterial small subunit ribosomal RNA", at positions 568 to 796 of the family's 1533-position model. The record is from RNAcentral.